RNAcentral lists this ribosomal RNA (465 nucleotides) under uncultured bacterium. RNAcentral describes it as "partial 16S ribosomal RNA". It matches the Rfam family "Bacterial small subunit ribosomal RNA", at positions 28 to 507 of the family's 1533-position model. The record is from RNAcentral.
GACGAACGCUGGCGGCGUGCUUAACUCAUGCAAGUCGUACGGUAAGGCCCUUUCGGGGGUACACGAGUGGCGAACGGGUGAGUAACACGUGAGUAACCUGCCCACAACUUUGGGAUAACGCUAGGAAACUGGUGCUAAUACUGGAUAUGUGCUCCUGCUGCAUGGUGGGGGUUGGAAAGCUCCGGCGGUUGUGGAUGGACUCGCGGCCUAUCAGCUUGUUGGUGGGGUAGUGGCCUACCAAGGCGGCGACGGGUAGCCGGCCUGAGAGGGUGACCGGCCACAUUGGGACUGAGAUACGGCCCAGACUCCUACGGGAGGCAGCAGUGGGGAAUAUUGCACAAUGGGCGCAAGCCUGAUGCAGCAACGCCGCGGGCGGGAUGACGGCCUUCGGGUUGUAAACCGCUUUCAGCAGGGACGAAGCUUUUUGUGACGGUACCUGCAGAAGAAGCACCGGCUAACUACGUG